RNAcentral lists this transfer RNA (75 nucleotides) under Coprococcus eutactus. RNAcentral's name for it is "tRNA-Thr(ggt)". It matches the Rfam family "tRNA". Rfam says of the family: Transfer RNA (tRNA) molecules are approximately 80 nucleotides in length. The record is from RNAcentral. Lineage: Bacteria; Bacillati; Bacillota; Clostridia; Lachnospirales; Lachnospiraceae.
AGCUACUAUAGCUCAGGUGGUAGAGCGCAACAUUGGUAAUGUUGAGGUCACGGGUCCGACUCCCGUUAGUAGCUU